This is a long non-coding RNA of Penaeus indicus, 657 nucleotides long. RefSeq lists it as uncharacterized. NCBI's taxonomy places the organism in Eukaryota, Metazoa, Arthropoda, Malacostraca, Decapoda, Penaeidae. The record is from RefSeq and is a predicted model, not a curated record. The transcript has 3 exons.
GUUAUCUUUAGUUCAUACUACUGUCCUUCAUUCUCGAUUCGAGUGCUUACAGGGAAGGAUUCAACGAUGAAGUGGAUCGGUCUGACUUUCUUGUUGUUGUCAUCCUUGAUGGUGGCGACAGAAGCGCGACCCCAAGGCAGAUUCCCGCCUCAUUUUCCUACACGCGGGCCUUUGAUCCCUCCAUACCCAUGCAACUGCACGUUCCCACCGUGUCCUUGUGAUCCUCCUAGACCCAUCGACUUCUUAAGAGUAAAACGACGCGUGUAAGAUGGCCCUGCGAGUCCUCAGGAUGGUUUUCCUUGUUGUCCACGUCCUCGGAUUUGAGUGAUUUUCUUCAAGUUUUCUUAUUGUCUGCGUAAAUUAGUAGGUUUUCCUUUUGUCUAUAAAAGUUUUCAGGCGUUCUAUUCAUGUCUUGUAUAAGUUAUUGAGAUUUCCUUAUCAUCAGUGCAAUGAAUCUUUUUUUUUUUUUUUUCGUGUAAACAUAACUUAGCAAGAUUCGAUGAGUGCCUGUGCAAAUCAUUGUUUUUUGUUUCUUUACACUAGUUAUCAGGGCUUCCCUAGUGUCUGUACGAACCAUUAUGUCUUACAUGCUUGUCUGUAUUAGUGCAAGUUCUUCAUUUGAAAAUAAAUAGAAUAAAAAUAAAUUGUCAUAAUUGU